GCCUAUGGCCAUACCACCUGAACGUGCCCAAUCUCAUCUGAUCUCGGAAGCUAAGCAGAGUCGGGCCUGGUUUGUACUUGGAUGGGAGAAAGCGAGAGAGAAAAUCUUGUAUCCUCUGAUU
Molecule: ribosomal RNA, 121 nt
Organism: Ochotona princeps (American pika)
Lineage: Eukaryota; Metazoa; Chordata; Mammalia; Lagomorpha; Ochotonidae
Source: Ensembl